GCAAGUCGAACGGCAAGCGUACCUCGGGUAGCCUAGAGUGGCGGACUGGUGAGUAACGACGUGGGUGACGAUGCCUUCAGGACUGGAAUAGCCUGCAGAAAUGCAGGGUAAUGCCGGAUACGGUGCAGGACGUUAGGGGUCCUGCAAGAAAGGAGCAUUUGCUCCGCCGGGAGAUUGGCCCGCGGCCCAUUAGCUAGUUGGUGAGGUAAAGGCCCACCAAAGGCAAUGAUGGGUAUCCGGCCUGAGAGGGUGAUCGGACACAUUGGGACUGAGAUACGGCCCAGACUCCUACGGGAGGCAGCAGCUAAGAAUAUUCCGCAAUGGAGGAAACUCUGACGGAGCGACGCCGCGUGGAUGAUUGAAGGCCGAAAGGUUGUAAAAUCCUUUUGAACCGGAAGAAUAAGCGCAGGAGGGAAUGCCUGCGUGGUGACGGUACGGUUCGAAUAAGCAACGGCUAAUUACGUGCCAGCCGCCGC
This 476-nucleotide ribosomal RNA is filed under the name uncultured bacterium. RNAcentral describes it as "bacterial SSU rRNA". It matches the Rfam family "Bacterial small subunit ribosomal RNA", at positions 57 to 518 of the family's 1533-position model. The record is from RNAcentral.